GGACGGGUGGCCGAGUGGCUGAAGGCGGCGGUUUGCUAAACCGUUGUAGGCCAUUAAAAGUCUACCGGGGGUUCGAAUCCCCCCCCGUCCGCCA
This 94-nucleotide transfer RNA is filed under the name Acidobacteriota bacterium. Its description in RNAcentral is "Acidobacteria bacterium tRNA-Ser". It matches the Rfam family "tRNA". From Rfam's summary of the family: Transfer RNA (tRNA) molecules are approximately 80 nucleotides in length. Their secondary structure includes four short double-helical elements and three loops (D, anti-codon, and T loops). Further hydrogen bonds mediate the characteristic L-shaped molecular structure. tRNAs have two regions of fundamental functional importance: the anti-codon, which is responsible for specific mRNA codon recognition, and the 3' end, to which the tRNAs corresponding amino acid is attached (by aminoacyl-tRNA synthetases). tRNAs cope with the degeneracy of the genetic code in two manners: having more than one tRNA (with a specific anti-codon) for a particular amino acid; and 'wobble' base-pairing, i.e. permitting non-standard base-pairing at the 3rd anti-codon position. RNAcentral also lists the same sequence under 2 other names. The record is from RNAcentral. Lineage: Bacteria; Pseudomonadati; Acidobacteriota.